Molecule: long non-coding RNA, 590 nt
Organism: Strigops habroptila (Kakapo)
Lineage: Eukaryota; Metazoa; Chordata; Aves; Psittaciformes; Psittacidae
Exons: 4
Source: RefSeq, a predicted model, not a curated record
GCACAUGCGCGGCCCGCUGCGCGGAAAAGGCGCGCAACCCGCGGGCGCACUGCGCAUGUGCGGCCGGUACCGGCGGUGGCGGAAGGACGCCGCGGCCCGGCGGCGGCAAUGGCGCGGCGCGUCGUGAGGGGCCUGCUGCUGCUGGAGGCGGCGGGGCUGCUCGGCGCACUCCUGCUCUACCGCGCUAUGGACCGCAGCCAAGAUUUCAGAUACACAAUGCAGAAGAAGUUCCCAUCAAUUCUGGAAGUGUAUUACAGAUCCAAUGAGUGGUCUGGAAUUCACGGCAUAAGGGAGAAUGACCAAAUGGCAUGGUUAAGCAGCAAGAACUGAAGUAAGAAAGCCCUCUGUGUCUGAACUGUUUCUUCCUUUUGAUGAUGCUUUUCACAUCCCUGUCGUGAAGCCACUUGUCGCGCUCUAUUUCCCACUGGAUCUGUUUGAUAUCUUUAAGAGGAAAGGUGAGAAAUAAGGAGUCAACGGCUAUCUCUGAUCAUGAUGUAAAAUACAGAUGAAACAUGUAACAGUUAAAACUUUGCUACUGUAUUUAUAAAUGUUAAUAAAGUGCAAGCUGCCUUUUUGUUUUUUUGACACCA